This 524-nucleotide ribosomal RNA is filed under the name uncultured bacterium. RNAcentral describes it as "bacterial SSU rRNA". It matches the Rfam family "Bacterial small subunit ribosomal RNA", at positions 8 to 518 of the family's 1533-position model. The record is from RNAcentral.
AGGGUUCGAUUCUGGCUCAGGAUGAACGCUAGCUACAGGCUUAACACAUGCAAGUCGAGGGGCAUCAGGGAUCUAGCUUGCUAGAUUUGCUGGCGACCGGCGCACGGGUGAGUAACGCGUAUCCAACCUUCCCUAUAGUAGAGGAUAGCCCGGCGAAAGUCGGAUUAAUACUCUAUGUUGUAUUUUAGAGGACAUCUGAAGAAUACCAAAGGUUUACCGCUAUAGGAUGGGGAUGCGUCUGAUUAGGUUGUUGGCGGGGUAACGGCCCACCAAGCCUACGAUCAGUAGGGGUUCUGAGAGGAAGGUCCCCCACAUUGGAACUGAGACACGGUCCAAACUCCUACGGGAGGCAGCAGUGAGGAAUAUUGGUCAAUGGGCGCGAGCCUGAACCAGCCAAGUUAAGCGUGCAGGAUGACGGCCCUAUGGGUUGUAAACUGCUUUUAUAUGGGGAUAAAGUGAGGGACGUGUCCCUUUUUGUAGGUACCGUAUGAAUAAGGACCGGCUAAUCCCGUGCCAGCCGCAGC